UAGUAGCGGCGAGCGAAGCGGGAAGAGCUCAAAUUUAUAAUCUGGCACCUUCGGUGUCCGAGUUGUAAUCUCUAGAAGUGUUUUCCGCGUUGGACCGCACACAAGUCUGUUGGAAUACAGCGGCAUAGUGGUGAGACCCCCGUAUAUGGUGCGGACGCCCAACGCUUUGUGAUACACUUUCGAAGAGUCGAGUUGUUUGGGAAUGCAGCUCAAAUUGGGUGGUAAAUUCCAUCUAAAGCUAAAUAUUGGCGAGAGACCGAUAGCGAACAAGUACCGUGAGGGAAAGAUGAAAAGCACUUUGGAAAGAGAGUUAACAGUACGUGAAAUUGUUGGAAGGGAAACGCUUGAAGUCAGACUUGCUUGCCGAGCAAUCGGUUUGCAGGCCAGCAUCAGUUUUCUGGGGUGGAUAAUGGUAGAGAGAAGGUAGCAGUUUCGGCUGUGUUAUAGCUCUUUGCUGGAUACACCUUGGGGGACUGAGGAACGCAGUGUGCCUUACGGCGGAUUUCUCGAGAUCUUCACACUUAGGAUGCUGGUGGAAUGGCUUUAAACGACCCGUCUUGA
This 561-nucleotide ribosomal RNA is filed under the name Rhodotorula taiwanensis. RNAcentral's name for it is "partial large subunit ribosomal RNA". It matches the Rfam family "Eukaryotic large subunit ribosomal RNA", at positions 81 to 657 of the family's 3401-position model. Lineage: Eukaryota; Fungi; Basidiomycota; Microbotryomycetes; Sporidiobolales; Sporidiobolaceae. The record is from RNAcentral.